GGAGAAAAGCAGGGGAUCGUAAGACCUUGCGUUAAUGGAGCGGCCGAUAUCUGAUUAGCUAGUUGGUGAGGUAAAGGCUCACCAAGGCGACGAUCAGUAGCUGGUUUGAGAGAACGACCAGCCACACUGGAACUGAGACACGGUCCAGACUCCUACGGGAGGCAGCAGUGGGGAAUUUUGGACAAUGGGGGCAACCCUGAUCCAGCCAUUCCGCGUGAGUGAAGAAGGCCUUCGGGUUGUAAAGCUCUUUCGCAAGGGAAGAAAACUUAUGAUCGAAUAAAUCAUGAGGUUGACGGUACCUUGAUAAGAAGCACCGGCUAACUACGUGCCAGCAGCCGCGGUAAUACGUAGGGUGCGAGCGUUAAUCGGAAUUACUGGGCGUAAAGCGUGCGCAGGCGGUUUUGUAAGUCGGAUGUGAAAUCCCCGGGCUCAACCUGGGAACU
This 443-nucleotide ribosomal RNA is filed under the name uncultured Nitrosomonadales bacterium. Its description in RNAcentral is "bacterial SSU rRNA". It matches the Rfam family "Bacterial small subunit ribosomal RNA", at positions 198 to 622 of the family's 1533-position model. Lineage: Bacteria; Pseudomonadati; Pseudomonadota; Betaproteobacteria; Nitrosomonadales. The record is from RNAcentral.